GUCGAGGGGCAGCGGGGGAGCAGCAAUGCUCCCGCCGGCGACCGGCGUACGGGUGAGUAACACGUAUGGAACCUGCCCGCAGCAGGGGGAUAAGCGGAAGAAAUUCCGUCUAAUACCGCGUAACACCGCGGAGGGGCAUCCCUCGGCGGUUAAAGAUUCAUCGGCUGCGGAUGGCCAUGCGGCGCAUUAGCUAGUCGGCGGGGUAACGGCCCACCGAGGCGACGAUGCGUAGGGGUUCUGAGAGGAAGGUCCCCCACACUGGUACUGAGACACGGACCAGACUCCUACGGGAGGCAGCAGUGAGGAAUAUUGGUCAAUGGCCGGGAGGCUGAACCAGCCAAGUCGCGUGAGGGAAGACGGCCCUACGGGUUGUAAACCUCUUUUGUCAGGGAGCAAGGUGCGGGUCGGGACCUGCUGUGAGAGUACCUGAAGAAAAAGCAUCGGCUAACUCCGUGCCAGCAGCCGCGGUAAUACGGAGGAUGCGAGCGUUAUCCGGAUUUAUUGGGUUUAAAGGGUGCGCAGGCGGAGGCACAAGUCAGCGGUAAAAUCGCGGGGCUCAACCCCGCUCCGCCGUUGAAACUGUGUCCCUUGAGUGCGCGAAGGGUAGGCGGAAUGCGUGGUGUAGCGGUGAAAUGCAUAGAUAUCACGCAGAACUCCGAUCGCGAAGGCAGCCUACCGACGCGCGACUGACGCUCAUGCACGAAAGCGUGGGUAUCGAACAGGAUUAGAUACCCUGGUAGUCCACGCAGUAGACGAUGAAUGCUAUCUGUCCGGCCGGAAUGACGGCUGGGUGGCACAGCGAAAGCGUU
Molecule: ribosomal RNA, 809 nt
Filed under: uncultured bacterium
Lineage: Bacteria
Description: bacterial SSU rRNA
Rfam family: Bacterial small subunit ribosomal RNA
Source: RNAcentral